Cannabis sativa is the source of this 1910-nucleotide long non-coding RNA. RefSeq lists it as uncharacterized. The transcript has 2 exons. Lineage: Eukaryota; Viridiplantae; Streptophyta; Magnoliopsida; Rosales; Cannabaceae. The record is from RefSeq and is a predicted model, not a curated record.
GUACACACAAUAAUAAUUCCAUCCAAAGAAUCUUAAUUAUUAAUCCUUUUAGCUGUAAUUAGUCCACCACUUAUCGUAUCGUAAUCGUAUCCAAGUCUGAGUACGAGUAUCGUAGUCGGCAGUGGAAGAUUCAAACGCAAAUAUUAAUAAAUUAAUCAAACAAAUAUUAAUUAAAUUAAAGAGAAAAAGAAAAAAAUUUGAUUAAACCGUCCUUCCACACAAUAAUAAAUUUAUUUAUUUAUUUAUUUAUUUAUUUAUUUAUAUAUGUUAUAUGUUAUAGUUAGUGUGUCAACAAUCUCGUGUUCCAAUAGGGAGAGAGUCGGUCAUGAAGUCCCACCUCUCCUCACCCUUAUAAAUAUCACCCUUCCCUAACCUUUUUAUCUCCACCCACCAUUUGAGCUAGCUCUUAUAACUCAUUAUUAUUAAAAAUAAAUUACACCAAAGUUAUUAUUGUAAUAAGUUUCAUUUUUUUUUUUCUAAACUAUUGAUAAGCUAAAGUAGUAGUAUUUAUUUUCCUUGGUUGGAGUUCUUGGCGUGAUGAUUUAAAAGUAAAGGAGAAUCUGUAAAGCUCAGGAGGGAUAGCGCCGUGACUAACUUAUAUUGUUUACAAAUGAAAAAUAAAAUGUUUUCAAAGAAAAAGUUCCAUGGCGCUAUCUAUCCUGAGUUUCAUGGCUUCUUCUUACUAAAUCAGACUCUAAUAUGUCAACGGCGCUGUUGAUGGUGGAUGUGACUGUGGUUAUGGUGAAAAGUUGUUAUGUUCUGAGUCUUUAUGUUUUUUGUCUCCAAAAGCUUGUGCAAAAAAAUAGGGGUAAGCUCUUUCUUCCUUUGACAUCGUCCUUGUUCAACGGUAUAUAUUUAUUUCAUGUGAUGUGGGGAUAUAUAUAGUAUUUUAACAUUUUUUGUUUCUUUCUUUUAUAUCCAUAUGCACAUACAUAUACUCAUACUCAUACUCAUACUUAUAUUCCUAUGAUUCUUUCUAUAGAUCUUAUUUUAUUAAUUUUGCUAAAGCUAAGAUAAAAAUAUAUAAACCCUAAAGUGAUCGACGUACAAAGUUGUUAUGACUGAAAGAGAAACUAGAUUUCUUACACUGAUCUUUAAUAAGCUCUUUCGCUAGCUAGUACUAAAUAUAUAUAUAUACACACACAUAGUGGUCUUAAUAUCAAUUUUUGUUUCUUGAAAAAACUUGAUAAAUGAUAAUAUGAAGCGAUUAACUUGGGUCGUACUAUAUACUACUUUCUUCUUAUUCUUUCCGGGAACAGAAAAUGUUAUCCUAUGGAGAUUAAACGUACUGUGUUAUUUUCUAUUAGAUUUUUGUUUUUCUUUUUUUAUUUGUGGUGUUUUUAUUGGGAUCAUGUGUUUUGUCCAGAUGAAACCCUAGCUAUUGGAAACAGAAUUUUCUAGCAAAAAGAAAAAGAAGAAGAAGACAAAAUAGUGUACAUGUUUUUUGAAAUUUACUUUAUGGGAACUUUCUUUUUACUCUGGUAUUGGGACUUUUUUUAAAAUGGGGUCAGAUACAACUUUUUAGUUGCAGGGUGUGUCUGAAACAAACCCUAAAUAUCUCGUUCAGAAUAAAAAAUUGUUAGCAGUUGAGAAAGGUGAGUUAGGGUUUUUAUGCCUUGACUGAAACUUUUGCAGGCUUUUCAAUAAUGUGGAUGUUGACCACUUUUUCAAACUUUGAUCAGAUCAUGGACUCCUCGCUUUUUCUCUUGUGUACAAAGAACCCAUAUACCUAAUAAAAUCUCUCCUUCCCUCCAUAAUUUCCUGUCCUGUUUCUGACCCAUACGAAUUAAAUGGCCACGUGUCCUCUGCAAUAAACUGUGUUUCCAAAUUUAAUUUAAAGAGCUAAAAAAAGCAAAAAUAUGUAUACCUAUUAUUUUUUUUUUGAAAAAAAAUAUCACUCCAAUAAGUUA